AUGGGGCGCCAAUCCACGAGGGUCCCUACGCCGCCACCGCCGCCGCCGGCACGGGAGCCUCACCAGGUCACCACCACCGAGCAAGCAGCCGCUGUUCCCCACUUCAGAGCGGCCUCUUCAUCAACGCAAGCUCCGCCGAUGGACAAGCAGGCAUGGAACGCUGCGGCCGCUGCCUCCGAGUUCUUCUCCCCAACAUUACAUUGGGGGGUGGAUCCCCGUCCGCCGGGUGGUUUCGUAAGCUAUUUGGGAAAUCCAUCAAGUUACCCGCUUCCACAACAGCCGCCUAAUCAGCAGGCCAUGUUGCAGCAUCUCCAUUACUCUGGUGGUCCUUCACACUAUGUUCCAUGUCCAGCACCACAACCAUCACCCUCACUUCGCAAGUCAAGAACUCCAGUUACACCUUCUGGUUCACAACAAACCAUCAAUGUUGACGGUGAGGAGGAUGGAGAUAAGAGGACUGAGAAGCGACUUGCUUGGACAUCACAGGAGGAUGUAAGAUUGAUGAGCGCCUGGUUACGUUGCUCGACUGACCCAAUUAAUGGCAACAACAAGAAGAGUGAUCAGUAUUGGGGAGAUGUCACUAACGUGUACAACAGCACCACUCCAAAAAAUAGGACAAGACAAGUGAAGCAAGCAAAAGACCAUUGGCAUACUCUUAAUAAGCUAGUCUUCCAGUUCCAUUGCUGUUACGUGCAUGCAUCCAUUUUCUUCUAUGGCCGACUCAACUAA
RNAcentral lists this ribosomal RNA (729 nucleotides) under Triticum aestivum (bread wheat). RNAcentral's name for it is "partial small subunit ribosomal RNA". The record is from RNAcentral. Lineage: Eukaryota; Viridiplantae; Streptophyta; Magnoliopsida; Poales; Poaceae.